GAUGAACGCUGGCGGCGUGCUUAACACAUGCAAGUCGAGCGAGAAGUUUUGAAAAGAUUCUUCGGAUGAAAUUUAAAAUGGAAAGCGGCGGACGGGUGGGUAACGCGUAGGCAACCUGCCCCAUACAAAGGGAUAGCAUUUGGAAACGAAUAUUAAUACCUUAUGAAACUUAACUAGUGCAUGCUAGGUAGGUCAAAGAUUUAUCGGUAUGGGAUGGGCCUGCGUCUGAUUAGCUAGUUGGUGAGGUAACGGCUCACCAAGGCGACGAUCAGUAGCCGACCUGAGAGGGUGAACGGCCACAUUGGAACUGAGACACGGUCCAAACUCCUACGGGAGGCAGCAGUGGGGAAUAUUGCACAAUGGGGGAAACCCUGAUGCAGCAACGCCGCGUGAACGAUGAAGGCCUUUGGGUCGUAAAGUUCUGUUCUAGGUGAUGAAAACUGACAGUAACCUAGGAGAAAGCCCCGGCUAACUCCGUG
This 479-nucleotide ribosomal RNA is filed under the name uncultured bacterium. Its description in RNAcentral is "partial 16S ribosomal RNA". It matches the Rfam family "Bacterial small subunit ribosomal RNA", at positions 28 to 507 of the family's 1533-position model. The record is from RNAcentral.